AGUGAACGCUGGCGGUAGGCCUAACACAUGCAAGUCGAACGGCAGCACAGUAAGAGCUUGCUCUUACGGGUGGCGAGUGGCGGACGGGUGAGGAAUACAUCGGAAUCUACUUUUUCGUGGGGGAUAACGUAGGGAAACUUACGCUAAUACCGCAUACGACCUACGGGUGAAAGCAGGGGAUCUUCGGACCUUGCGCGAUUGAAUGAGCCGAUGUCGGAUUAGCUAGUUGGCGGGGUAAAGGCCCACCAAGGCGACGAUCCGUAGCUGGUCUGAGAGGAUGAUCAGCCACACUGGAACUGAGACACGGUCCAGACUCCUACGGGAGGCAGCAGUGGGGAAUAUUGGACAAUGGGCGCAAGCCCGAUCCAGCCAUACCGCGUGUGUGAAGAAGGCCUUCGGGUUGUAAAGCCCUUUUGUUGGGAAAGAAAAGCAGCAGGUUAAUACCCCGCUGUUCUGACGGUACCCAAAGAAUAAGCACCGGCUAACUUCGUG
RNAcentral lists this ribosomal RNA (492 nucleotides) under uncultured bacterium. Its description in RNAcentral is "partial 16S ribosomal RNA". It matches the Rfam family "Bacterial small subunit ribosomal RNA", at positions 29 to 507 of the family's 1533-position model. The record is from RNAcentral.